GGGUCAUUGGUGAAAUUGGCAACACAGCGGAUUCCAAAUCCGUGUAUUAAAGGUUCGACUCCUUUGUGGCCCGCCA
RNAcentral lists this transfer RNA (76 nucleotides) under Pseudomonas putida. RNAcentral describes it as "tRNA-Trp". It matches the Rfam family "tRNA". Rfam says of the family: Transfer RNA (tRNA) molecules are approximately 80 nucleotides in length. Their secondary structure includes four short double-helical elements and three loops (D, anti-codon, and T loops). The record is from RNAcentral. Lineage: Bacteria; Pseudomonadati; Pseudomonadota; Gammaproteobacteria; Pseudomonadales; Pseudomonadaceae.